UGUGGGAGCGAGCCUGCUCGCGAUAGCGGUAUGUCAGUAGCGCAUUAAUCAGCUGAUCCACCGCGAUCGCGAGCAGGCUCGCUCCCACA
This 89-nucleotide unclassified non-coding RNA is filed under the name Pseudomonas mediterranea. The record is from RNAcentral. Lineage: Bacteria; Pseudomonadati; Pseudomonadota; Gammaproteobacteria; Pseudomonadales; Pseudomonadaceae.